This 510-nucleotide ribosomal RNA is filed under the name uncultured bacterium. RNAcentral's name for it is "partial 16S ribosomal RNA". It matches the Rfam family "Bacterial small subunit ribosomal RNA", at positions 28 to 507 of the family's 1533-position model. The record is from RNAcentral.
GACGAACGCUGGCGGCGUGCUUAACACAUGCAAGUCGAACGAAGAGCGAUGGACGCUUGCUUCUAUCAAUCUUAGUGGCGACCGUGUGAGUAACGCGUAAUCAACCUGCCCUUCAGAGGGGGACAACAGUUGGAAACGACUGCUAAUACCGCAUACGAUCUAAUCUCGGCAUCGAGGAUAGAUGAAAGGUGGCCUCUACAUGUAAGCUAUCACUGAAGGCGGGGAUUGCGUCUGAUUAGCUAGUUGGAGGGGUAACGGCCCACCAAGGCGAUGAUCAGUAGCCGGUCUGAGAGGAUGAACGGCCACAUUGGGAAUGAGACACGGCCCAGACUCCUACGGGAGGCAGCAGUGGGGAAUCUUCCGCAAUGGACGAAAGUCUGACGGAGCAACGCCGCGUGAGUGAUGACGGACUUCGGGUUGUAAAGCUCUGUUAAUCGGGACGAAAGGACUUCUUGCGAACAGUUAGAAGGAUUGACGGUACCGGAAUAGAAAGCCACGGCUAACUACGUG